UAGGGAAUCUUCCGCAAUGGACGAAAGUCUGACGGAGCAACGCCGCGUGAGUGAUGAAGGUUCUCGGAUCGUAAAGCUCUGUUGCCAGGGAAGAACACUUAGGAGAGUAACUGCUCCUGAGUUGACGGUACCUGAGAAGAAAGCCCCGGCUAACUACGUGCCAGCAGCCGCGGUAAUACGUAGGGGGCAAGCGUUGUCCGGAAUUAUUGGGCGUAAAGCGCGCGCAGGCGGCUUUGUAAGUCUGUCGUUUAAGUUCGGGGCUCAACCCCGUAUCGCGAUGGAAACUGCAAGGCUUGAGUGCAGAAGAGGAAAGUGGAAUUCCACGUGUAGCGGUGAAAUGCGUAGAGAUGUGGAGGAACACCAGUGGCGAAGGCGACUUUCUGGGCUGUAACUGACGCUGAGGCGCGAAAGCGUGGGGGAGCAAACAGGAUUAGAUACCCUGGUAGUCCACGCCGUAAACGAUGAAUGCUAGGUGUUAGGGG
RNAcentral lists this ribosomal RNA (482 nucleotides) under uncultured Bacillota bacterium. Its description in RNAcentral is "bacterial SSU rRNA". It matches the Rfam family "Bacterial small subunit ribosomal RNA", at positions 355 to 829 of the family's 1533-position model. Lineage: Bacteria; Bacillati; Bacillota. The record is from RNAcentral.